CCCUUAGAUGUUCUGGGCUGCACGCGUGCUACACUGAUAUUGCCAAUAUGUCAUUCUUAUCCGAAAUGGAUUGGGUAAUCAAGUAAUGAAAUUUCAUGCUUGGAAUCGGUAAUUGCAAUUUUAUCGUGAACGAGGAAUUCCUAGUAAGCACUAGUCAUCAGCUAAUGUUGAUUAUGUCCCUGCCCUCUGUACACACCGCCCGUCGCUACUACUGAUUGGGUGUUCAAGUGAGAUGCUUAGACCCUUGUUGCAUGGUUCAUUAUUGUGCUCCGAAAGGAAAAAGUUUCAAGCUUGAGUGUCUAGAGGAAGUAAAAGUCGUAACA
RNAcentral lists this ribosomal RNA (323 nucleotides) under uncultured eukaryote. RNAcentral describes it as "partial 18S ribosomal RNA". It matches the Rfam family "Eukaryotic small subunit ribosomal RNA", at positions 1470 to 1796 of the family's 1831-position model. The record is from RNAcentral.